AGAGUUUGAUCCUGGCUCAGGACGAACGCUGGCGGCGCGCCUAACACAUGCAAGUCGAACGAGCGAGAGAGAGCUUGCUUUCUCGAGCGAGUGGCGAACGGGUGAGUAACGCGUGAGGAACCUGCCUCAAAGAGGGGGACAACAGUUGGAAACGACUGCUAAUACCGCAUAAGCCCACGGGUCGGCAUCGACCAGAGGGAAAAGGAGCAAUUCGCUUUGAGAUGGCCUCGUGUCCGAUUAGCUAGUUGGUGAGGUAAUGGCCCACCAAGGCGACGAUCGGUAGCCGGACUGAGAGGUUGAACGGCCACAUUGGGACUGAGACACGGCCCAGACUCCUACGGGAGGCAGCAGUGGGGAAUAUUGCACAAUGGGGGAAACCCUGAUGCAGCGACGCCGCGUGGAGGAAGAAGGUCUUCGGAUUGUAAACUCCUGUUGUCGAGGAAGAUAAUGACGGUACUCAACAAGGAAGUGACGGCUAACUACGUGCCAGCAGCCGCGGUAAAACGUAGGUCACAAGCGUUGUCCGGAAUUACUGGGUGUAAAGGGAGCGCAGGCGGGAAGACAAGUUGGAAGUGAAAUCCAUGGGCUCAACCCAUGAACUGCUUUCAAAACUGUUUUUCUUGAGUAGUGCAGAGGUAGGCGGAAUUCCCGGUGUAGCGGGUGGAAUGCGUAGAUAUCGGGAGGAACACCAGUGGCGAAGGCGGCCUACUGGGCACCAACUGACGCUGAGGCUCGAAAGUGUGGGUAGCAAACAGGAUUAGAUACCCUGGUAGUCCACACCGUAAACGAUGAUUACUAGGUGUUGGAGGAUUGACCCCUUCAGUGCCGCAGUUAACACAAUAAGUAAUCCACCUGGGGAGUACGACCGCAAGGUUGAAACUCAAAGGAAUUGACGGGGGCCCGCACAAGCAGUGGAGUAUGUGGUUUAAUUCGACGCAACGCGAAGAACCUUACCAAGUCUUGACAUCCUUCUGACCGGUACUUAAUCGUACCUUCUCUUCGGAGCAGGAGUGACAGGUGGUGCAUGGUUGUCGUCAGCUCGUGUCGUGAGAUGUUGGGUUAAGUCCCGCAACGAGCGCAACCCUUAUCUUUAGUAGCCAGCGGUCAGGCCGGGCACUCUAGAGAGACUGCCAGGGAUAACUUGGAGGAAGGCGGGGAUGACGUCAAAUCAUCAUGCCCCUUAUGACCAGGGCUACACACGUGCUACAAUGGCGUAAACAGAGGGAAGCAGCCUCGUGAGAGUGAGCAAAUCCCAAAAAUAACGUCUCAGUUCGGAUUGUAGUCUGCAACUCGACUACAUGAAGCUGGAAUCGCUAGUAAUCGCGAAUCAGAAUGUCGCGGUGAAUACGUUCCCGGGUCUUGUACACACCGCCCGUCA
This 1378-nucleotide ribosomal RNA is filed under the name uncultured bacterium. RNAcentral describes it as "bacterial SSU rRNA". It matches the Rfam family "Bacterial small subunit ribosomal RNA". The record is from RNAcentral.